RNAcentral lists this ribosomal RNA (497 nucleotides) under uncultured bacterium. RNAcentral's name for it is "partial 16S ribosomal RNA". It matches the Rfam family "Bacterial small subunit ribosomal RNA", at positions 28 to 507 of the family's 1533-position model. The record is from RNAcentral.
GAUGAACGCUGGCGGCGUGCCUAAUACAUGCAAGUCGAGCGAACAGACGAGGAGCUUGCUCCUCUGACGUUAGCGGCGGGCGGGUGAGUAACACGUGGAUAACCUACCUAUAAGACUGGGAUAACUUCGGGAACCCGGAGCUAAUACCGGAUAAUAUAUUGAACCGCAUGGUUCAAUAGUGAAAGACGGUUUUGCUGUCACUUAUAGAUGGAUCCGCGCCGCAUUAGCUAGUUGGUAAGGUAACGGCUUACCAAGGCAACGAUGCGUAGCCGACCUGAGAGGAUGAUCGGCCACACUGGAACUGAGACACGGUCCAGACUCCUACGGGAGGCAGCAGUAGGGAAUCUUCCGCAAUGGGCGAAAGCCUGACGGAGCCACGCCGCGUGAGUGAUGAAGGUCUUCGGAUCGUAAAACUCUGUUAUUAGGGAAGAACAAAUGUGUAAUAAACUAUGCACGUCUUGACGGUACCUAAUCAGAAAGCCCCGGCUAACUACGUG